AAGUGCAAUUACAACAGUAACAAACAACAAGAGCAACAACAACAAAAUAUAUUAAAAAUGUAAUUUGUUUUUGCUGAGAAGCGAAUAGAAAGGCAGCAUUUUAUAAAAAAAUAUUUUAUUUAAUUAUUUUCUUUUAAUUUUAGAGUGCAAUAGCUGAAAUUGUUAAAACAUUUAGAUAUUAUGUACCCCCAUGUGACCUCCCCCCUCCCCCACAUACACCCAAACACCUAAACACCCACACAUACACACAUUUAAGACAAGCGAACAAUAUUUAAUUAGCCAAUUAGACAAAAACAAAACAAGAAACAAAAGAGAUAUGAAACGAAGAAGACAACAACACUUACAAUACAAAAAAAUACUGAGAAUUCUAUUUAUUUACAGUAUAUAUUUACGAUUUAAAUACAUAAAUAUAAAAUAUAGUUUAUUUUUUGAUCGUCAAGGCGAUUGUAUUUGCAGCUUAGCUUCUUUAUAACUAAGGUCUAUCGAAUGAAGAGCAGAGAUAGAAGAGAGAGAGAGGAGGAGAGUGAGCCAGAGGGAAGAGAGUGAUAAGCUAUGAGCUCUCUCAACUGAGCGAGAUUGUGUUUAUCGAUAAAUGUCUAUCGAUAGUUUAGUAUUUUUGUAAUUUGAAAUUGUAAACCCCC
Long non-coding RNA from Drosophila arizonae, 641 nucleotides. NCBI's taxonomy places the organism in Eukaryota, Metazoa, Arthropoda, Insecta, Diptera, Drosophilidae. The record is from RefSeq and is a predicted model, not a curated record.